GGCUUUGUAGUGUAGCGGUUAUCACAGCGGAUUCUGAUUGUGAUCGGUACGGUCGAGAUUUCCGUUAACCCAGGUUCGAUUCCUGGCAAGGCCU
Transfer RNA from Daedalea quercina L-15889, 94 nucleotides. It matches the Rfam family "tRNA". From Rfam's summary of the family: Transfer RNA (tRNA) molecules are approximately 80 nucleotides in length. Their secondary structure includes four short double-helical elements and three loops (D, anti-codon, and T loops). Further hydrogen bonds mediate the characteristic L-shaped molecular structure. tRNAs have two regions of fundamental functional importance: the anti-codon, which is responsible for specific mRNA codon recognition, and the 3' end, to which the tRNAs corresponding amino acid is attached (by aminoacyl-tRNA synthetases). tRNAs cope with the degeneracy of the genetic code in two manners: having more than one tRNA (with a specific anti-codon) for a particular amino acid; and 'wobble' base-pairing, i.e. permitting non-standard base-pairing at the 3rd anti-codon position. NCBI's taxonomy places the organism in Eukaryota, Fungi, Basidiomycota, Agaricomycetes, Polyporales, Fomitopsidaceae. The record is from Rfam.